This 495-nucleotide ribosomal RNA is filed under the name uncultured bacterium. RNAcentral's name for it is "partial 16S ribosomal RNA". It matches the Rfam family "Bacterial small subunit ribosomal RNA", at positions 28 to 507 of the family's 1533-position model. The record is from RNAcentral.
GACGAACGCUGGCGGCGUGCCUAAUACAUGCAAGUAGAACGCUGAAGGAGGAGCUUGCUUCUCCGGAUGAGUUGCGAACGGGUGAGUAACGCGUAGGUAACCUGCCUGGUAGCGGGGGAUAACUAUUGGAAACGAUAGCUAAUACCGCAUAACAGUAGAUAUCGCAUGAUAUCUGCUUGAAAGGUGCAAUUGCACCACUACCAGAUGGACCUGCGUUGUAUUAGCUAGUUGGUGAGGUAACGGCUCACCAAGGCGACGAUACAUAGCCGACCUGAGAGGGUGAUCGGCCACACUGGGACUGAGACACGGCCCAGACUCCUACGGGAGGCAGCAGUAGGGAAUCUUCGGCAAUGGACGGAAGUCUGACCGAGCAACGCCGCGUGAGUGAAGAAGGUUUUCGGAUCGUAAAGCUCUGUUGUAAGAGAAGAACGAGUGUGAGAGUGGAAAGUUCACACUGUGACGGUAUCUUACCAGAAAGGGACGGCUAACUACGUG